GAUAUGUUAUUACCAAUAUCAGAUUUCACAGGGGCAAAGGCAGCUCCAAACUUGUCUGGAAUCGAAACAAUGAAUCGAGAAAAAUAUGGUCUUGUCAGCAUCCAAACACAUUAAAUUCAAUCCGCUUUCGGGUUAAAAAUCAAACUCUCAUACCUAAAACAGGCAGCAAGUGUUUGCACACAUCCAAGAAAGGUUUGGCAAGCAUCUCGCCGGAUUUGGAUUUAACAUGAUUCAUCCCUUCCAAAGCAGAAGAGAAAACAGUUCCUGAUCCUGCCAUUAUUGUGUUUAGUUAUCUGCAC
RNAcentral lists this long non-coding RNA (299 nucleotides) under Malus domestica (apple). RNAcentral's name for it is "long non-coding RNA (MDOM_LNC005097)". Lineage: Eukaryota; Viridiplantae; Streptophyta; Magnoliopsida; Rosales; Rosaceae. The record is from RNAcentral.